Molecule: ribosomal RNA, 468 nt
Filed under: uncultured bacterium
Lineage: Bacteria
Description: partial 16S ribosomal RNA
Rfam family: Bacterial small subunit ribosomal RNA
Source: RNAcentral
GACGAACGCUGGCGGCGUGCUUAACACAUGCAAGUCGAACGGAAAGGCCCUGCUUUUGUGGGGUGCUCGAGUGGCGAACGGGUGAGUAACACGUGAGUAACCUGCCCUUGACUUUGGGAUAACUUCAGGAAACUGGGGCUAAUACCGGAUAGAAUCUCCUGCUGCAUGGUGGUGGUUGGAAAGUUUCGGCGGUUGGGGAUGGACUCGCGGCUUAUCAGCUUGUUGGUGGGGUAGUUGCUUACCAGGGCUUUGACGGGUAGCCGGCAUGAGAGGGUGACCGGCCACAUUGGGACUGAGAUACGGACCAGACUCCUACGGGAGGCAGCAGUGGGGAAUCUUGCACAAUGGGCGGAAGCCUGAUGCAGCAACGCCGCGUGCGGGAUGACGGCCUUCGGGUUGUAAACAGAUUUCGACUGUGACGAAGCGUGAGUGACGGUAAUGGGUAAAGAAGCACCGGCUAACUACGUG